This 77-nucleotide transfer RNA is filed under the name uncultured Segetibacter sp. Its description in RNAcentral is "tRNA-His-GTG". It matches the Rfam family "tRNA". From Rfam's summary of the family: Transfer RNA (tRNA) molecules are approximately 80 nucleotides in length. Their secondary structure includes four short double-helical elements and three loops (D, anti-codon, and T loops). Further hydrogen bonds mediate the characteristic L-shaped molecular structure. tRNAs have two regions of fundamental functional importance: the anti-codon, which is responsible for specific mRNA codon recognition, and the 3' end, to which the tRNAs corresponding amino acid is attached (by aminoacyl-tRNA synthetases). tRNAs cope with the degeneracy of the genetic code in two manners: having more than one tRNA (with a specific anti-codon) for a particular amino acid; and 'wobble' base-pairing, i.e. permitting non-standard base-pairing at the 3rd anti-codon position. The record is from RNAcentral. Lineage: Bacteria; Pseudomonadati; Bacteroidota; Chitinophagia; Chitinophagales; Chitinophagaceae.
GAGAUCGUAGCUCAGUUGGUUAGAGCGUCAGUUUGUGGCACUGAAGGCCGUGGGUUCGAAACCCAUCGGUCUCCCCG